CCCGGCGUGCACGCGGAGGCCGGGCUCACCGAGGGGAGAAUGACAGAAGCAGCCACGGCAGACCACUCCUGUCCAUAUGUGGGUGCACGUGAGUGUGGGACUCCAGAAGAGGAGCCAGACCCAAUCCGGUCGCAGCGCCUUCUAGCCCGAGACAGCCGCUGACGCCGCAGCGCCCUCCUGCGUCUGCAGCCAGCUCCGCAUUCAGUUCAUCCAAACGCUGCUUCCCUAGGAUUCCUACCUGGGCUCGGCUCAGGGCUGCCGGACCGACAGACACCGCGCCCGCCCUGGCGCGGAGCUGCGCCGCCCGCAGACUGGACUUCCAGCAAUGUGACGGGCUCUCGAUCUGUGCCACUCACAGCCAUGGCAAGUGCUUCAAGCUGCACUGGUGCUGUCACCUAGGAUGAUGACACUUGCCACACUGAAGAACUUCCUCACCCCACCUGUCAUCCAUCUCCUGCUGUCUGGAGCAUUUCCUGUACACAGGGCCCUGAGCUAGAUGCUGGGAAUACAGCAUUGAAGAAGAGAGCCACGAUUUCUGCUCUCCUGGCAGUCUGGCUGCACUCCAUGGAAUAAAACUACAGAGAGCUGUAUAGACAAUAUGAUCAAAGCCAUUGUGAUUUCCAGAACAGAUGGAAUGUUCUGUGCAGGUAACGCUUGUCUGACCCUCUCCCUUUAUCUCUAGUAUCCAGCCACAGACUGAGAUCAAUACUGCAUUAGCUGUCCCUCUUAGUAAUAACUUAGUGUGGUUAACAGAUAGAGGGGACUAGAGAGGGACUGAG
Molecule: long non-coding RNA, 779 nt
Organism: Marmota monax (woodchuck)
Lineage: Eukaryota; Metazoa; Chordata; Mammalia; Rodentia; Sciuridae
Exons: 3
Source: RefSeq, a predicted model, not a curated record